Clupea harengus (Atlantic herring) is the source of this 561-nucleotide long non-coding RNA. Lineage: Eukaryota; Metazoa; Chordata; Actinopteri; Clupeiformes; Clupeidae. The record is from Ensembl.
GUUGAAUCCCCUGUGGGCACGUAGAGAAGUUUUCAAGUUUGUGUAUUAGGUUUCGCUCUCCUCAGAAUGAAAAGAUCUCCCCCCACACGUUAGUCAGCUGACUUGUAGCCUCAUCUGCGAAUUCUAUGUCGUACUUGUAAAGUUCUAAAUCGUAUCUGUCUCAUUGAAGUUAGACUGGAACUAUUCCGCCGGUUACUCAACAGGUGACGUUGUAGGAAGCCUGUAAGAGCUUUACAGAAGUGUCGUAGCCUACUUUGGGGAGAACAGGACAUAAAAGACCUUGCCCAAGCGUAAGGUUAUCUGUUCUCCAAAAAGGAGCUUGACAAUCCAACCAAACACAGUCUGGAAAUGGAUAAGGAUAUUGAAUUCAAGACUGAAUGGUACUACCCGCUGGACAACAACGAAGGAAGUAGUGAGCUUGCUCCAAAAAAGAAAUCAGGCAUGAUGGGGAUGAUGCAGAAAGUCAACCCAUUCAAAUCCUCUUCUCAGAGCUCCACAGCUGGACCACGAGCAGAGGCCUCAGUGGGGACUGCAGGAGGACAAGGCCCAGGCACCAAACAG